UACGUAGGGUGCAAGCGUUGUCCGGAAUUAUUGGGCGUAAAGAGCUCGUAGGCGGUCUGUCGCGUCGGCUGUGAAAACCCGGGGCUCAACCCCGGGCCUGCAGUCGAUACGGGCAGACUAGAGGGCGGUAGGGGAGACUGGGAUUCCUGGUGUAGCGGUGAAAUUCGUAGAUAUUAGGAGGAAUACCGGUGGCGAAGGCGGCCUUCUGGACCGAUCUUGACGCUGAGACGCGAAAGCGUGGGGAGCAAACAGG
This 253-nucleotide ribosomal RNA is filed under the name uncultured prokaryote. Its description in RNAcentral is "partial 16S ribosomal RNA". It matches the Rfam family "Bacterial small subunit ribosomal RNA", at positions 524 to 776 of the family's 1533-position model. The record is from RNAcentral.